This is a small nuclear RNA of Neogale vison (American mink), 139 nucleotides long. Its record names the gene U4. It matches the Rfam family "U4 spliceosomal RNA". From Rfam's summary of the family: U4 small nuclear RNA (U4 snRNA) is a component of the major U2-dependent spliceosome. The structure of U4 snRNA from yeast and human has been reported. Lineage: Eukaryota; Metazoa; Chordata; Mammalia; Carnivora; Mustelidae. The record is from Ensembl.
AGCUUUGCGCAGUGGCAGUAUCGUAGCCAAUGAGGUUUAUCCGAGGCACGAUUAUUGCUAAUUGAAAAAUAUUUCAAGUACUAUUUUAAACAUACUUUAUACAAUAGUUGAUACAAACUUGAGAAAUUGUUUCAGAAAA